This 498-nucleotide ribosomal RNA is filed under the name uncultured Oscillospiraceae bacterium. Its description in RNAcentral is "bacterial SSU rRNA". It matches the Rfam family "Bacterial small subunit ribosomal RNA", at positions 37 to 507 of the family's 1533-position model. The record is from RNAcentral. Lineage: Bacteria; Bacillati; Bacillota; Clostridia; Eubacteriales; Oscillospiraceae.
CGUCCAGGUACGUAGAACGCGUGGCGGCGUGCUAACACAUGCAAGUCGAACGGAGUACCCUUGAAGGAGUUCGUCGGACGAACUGAUAGGAGUACUUAGUGGCGGGACGGGUGAGUAAGCGUGAGUAACCUGCCUUGGAGUGGGGAAUAACAGCUGGAACAGCUGCUAAUACCGCAUGAUGCAGUUGGGUCGCAUUUUGGCUCUGACUGCCAAAGAUUUAUCGCUCUGAGAUGGACUCGCGUCUGAUUAGCUAGUUGGCGGGGCAACGGCCCACCAAGGCGGCGAUCAGUAGCCGGACUGAGAGGUUGGCCGGCCACAUUGGGACUGAGACACGGCCCAGACUCCUACGGGAGGCAGCAGUGGGGAAUAUUGGGCAAUGGGCGCAAGCCUGACCCAGCAACGCCGCGUGAAGGAAGAAGGCCUUCGGGUUGUAAACUUCUUUUCUUAGGGACGAAGAAAGUGACGGUACCUAAGGAAUAAGCCACGGCUAACUACGUG